Molecule: long non-coding RNA, 350 nt
Organism: Gadus chalcogrammus (walleye pollock)
Lineage: Eukaryota; Metazoa; Chordata; Actinopteri; Gadiformes; Gadidae
Exons: 3
Source: RefSeq, a predicted model, not a curated record
CUUCACUCAGAGCCGUAGUUGGCCACCGCAGCACCGCGAAGGGUUCGUUCAGGAACAGCGACCCUUUAAAGUUGGUAUGGAUGGACCAACGAAAAACACAGGGGGUGGAGAUUCCAUGAAGAGAAAUUAUGGAAGAGGUGACAACAACUCUUUCAGGGGAGAGACGAGGGCCAGUAGUGAGUGUAGAAAUAGCAGAGUAAAAGAAGGAGGAGAGCACAGUGGGGGGGAAGACGGCACGGCUGCUACGGGGAGAGCUGGACCAUGGGAGGACAGAGGAGGGAUAGGAGGAAGUAGAGGAGGUUGGAGGGAUCAAAGACGCCCUGAUGUGAGUCAAGUAGGCAGAGGACAAG